GGAAGAUGGUUUUAUGGAUUCCGUAUGAGAGACGAACAACAAACUCGUCGAGUCUCUCUGGCAGAACUCUUAAUGGAAGAAGGGGAAGAUGUUCUUGGGGUGCUUAGCCGAGGUGCUGUUCACGAGGUGCUUCGAGUUCAGGUUUCUGUAGGCGAUCCCUUUGGCAGUCACUGGUCUCAGCAAAGCACAUAAAAUAAAAACCCUUGGCAUCUCCCACGUAAGCAUUCUGCAACUGCUAUGAUCUAUAUGCAAAUAGUUGUUUCAUUAUGUAUUUCAAAUAAUUGCUUGUAGAUUAUUCAUGCAGAUAUCUAAAUGUAAAUAUUUG
This 325-nucleotide unclassified non-coding RNA is filed under the name Hevea brasiliensis (rubber tree). The record is from RNAcentral. Lineage: Eukaryota; Viridiplantae; Streptophyta; Magnoliopsida; Malpighiales; Euphorbiaceae.